UACAGGGGGUGCAAACGUUGCUCGGAAUCAUUGGGCGUAAAGCGCACGUAGGCGGUUCGUUAUGUCGGAUGUGAAAGCCCUUGACUUAACCGAGGAAGUGCAUCCGAAACUGGCGAGCUAGAGUACGAAAGAGGAUCGCGGAAUUCCCGGUGUAGAGGUGAAAUUCGUAGAUAUCGGGAGGAACACCGGUGGCGAAGGCGGCGAUCUGGGUCGAUACUGACGCUGAGGAGCGAAAGCGUGGGGAGCGAACAGG
This 253-nucleotide ribosomal RNA is filed under the name uncultured bacterium. Its description in RNAcentral is "partial 16S ribosomal RNA". It matches the Rfam family "Bacterial small subunit ribosomal RNA", at positions 524 to 776 of the family's 1533-position model. The record is from RNAcentral.